AUGACUGGGCAUCGUUUUUAGCCAGGGGACAAAUACUGGCGGCGUGCCUAAUACAUGCAAGUAGAACGCUGAAGAGAGGAGCUUGCUCUUCUUGGAUGAGUUGCGAACGGGUGAGUAACGCGUAGGUAACCUGCCUUGUAGCGGGGGAUAACUAUUGGAAACGAUAGCUAAUACCGCAUAACAAUGGAUGACACAUGUCAUUUAUUUGAAAGGGGCAAUUGCUCCACUACAAGAUGGACCUGCGUUGUAUUAGCUAGUAGGUGAGGUAACGGCUCACCUAGGCGACGAUACAUAGCCGACCUGAGAGGGUGAUCGGCCACACUGGGACUGAGACACGGCCCAGACUCCUACGGGAGGCAGCAGUAGGGAAUCUUCGGCAAUGGGGGCAACCCUGACCGAGCAACGCCGCGUGAGUGAAGAAGGUUUUCGGAUCGUAAAGCUCUGUUGUAAGUCAAGAACGAGUGUGAGAGUGGAAAGUUCACACUGUGACGGUAGCUUACCAGAAAGGGACGGCUAACUACGUGCCAGCAGCCGCGGUAAUACGUAGGUCCCGAGCGUUGUCCGGAUUUAUUGGGCGUAAAGCGAGCGCAGGCGGUUUGAUAAGUCUGAAGUUAAAGGCUGUGGCUCAACCAUAGUUCGCUUUGGAAACUGUCAAACUUGAGUGCAGAAGGGGAGAGUGGAAUUCCAUGUGUAGCGGUGAAAUGCGUAGAUAUAUGGAGGAACACCGGUGGCGAAAGCGGCUCUCUGGUCUGUAACUGACGCUGAGGCUCGAAAGCGUGGGGAGCGAACAGGAUUAGAUACCCUGGUAGUCCACGCCGUAAACGAUGAGUGCUAGGUGUUGGAUCCUUUCCGGGAUUCAGUGCCGCAGCUAACGCAUUAAGCA
RNAcentral lists this ribosomal RNA (883 nucleotides) under uncultured bacterium. RNAcentral describes it as "bacterial SSU rRNA". It matches the Rfam family "Bacterial small subunit ribosomal RNA", at positions 1 to 866 of the family's 1533-position model. The record is from RNAcentral.